AUUGAACGCUGGCGGCAUGCUUUACACAUGCAAGUCGAACGGUAACAGGCCGCAAGGUGCUGACGAGUGGCGAACGGGUGAGUAAUGCAUCGGAACGUGCCCAGUCGUGGGGGAUAACUACUCGAAAGAGUAGCUCAUACCGCAUACGAUCUAUGGUUGAAAGCGGGGGACCGUAAGGCCUCGCGCGAUUGGAGCGGCCGAUGUCAGAUUAGGUAGUUGGUGGGGUAAAGGCUCACCAAGCCAACGAUCUGUAGCUGGUCUGAGAGGACGACCAGCCACACUGGGACUGAGACACGGCCCAGACUCCUACGGGAGGCAGCAGUGGGGAAUUUUGGACAAUGGGCGCAAGCCUGAUCCAGCAAUGCCGCGUGCAGGAAGAAGGCCUUCGGGUUGUAAACUGCUUUUGUACGGAACGAAACGGCUCUGGUUAAUACCCGGGGCUAAUGACGGUACCGUAAGAAUAAGCACCGGCUAACUACGUG
RNAcentral lists this ribosomal RNA (482 nucleotides) under uncultured bacterium. Its description in RNAcentral is "partial 16S ribosomal RNA". It matches the Rfam family "Bacterial small subunit ribosomal RNA", at positions 30 to 507 of the family's 1533-position model. The record is from RNAcentral.